This is a long non-coding RNA of Daucus carota subsp. sativus, 686 nucleotides long. RefSeq lists it as uncharacterized. The transcript has 6 exons. The record is from RefSeq and is a predicted model, not a curated record. Lineage: Eukaryota; Viridiplantae; Streptophyta; Magnoliopsida; Apiales; Apiaceae.
GCAGGUUAAGGCGGCGGCUUCCCAAUUAGACUAGGGCACACCGCGUCGAUCGAUAAUAAUCGUGCGUGUUUGAGUGUUUUCAUAAUUCAGUGCUGAAUCGCUGGAUCGAUGUUUCAAAAUCGUUAUGUUAUCCAUUUCGAAGCCCAAAAACAGUAAAUAAUGAAGAAAAUGCUCCAGAAAAACAAAACUAUGUUCUAUUACUGCCUCAGUGGCAUCGCUCCACCAGAACAAAAAAUUGGCUAAAUCAUAUGAAGAUUGUAACAGAAAGUUUUUGGGCAUGAAUAACUCCAACACAGGGCCAAAGUCUUGUACUAGUACUGGUCGGGAAGGGGGGAAAAACACUGUAGAGCUCGCUAAAAAAAGGUUGGCAAGGAAUAAAAUUAAUUUUACCAAAAUUGGCACCAAGUGGACAAAGAGAAAUGCCAACAUUUCUCGAGAUGUGUUUGUGUUUAUGCAGCUGAUGAGGUAAAAGAACCUAGAGGCUGGCACCACCUCUAGGAAUUUCCGACCUUGUUCCAAAGCACAAGGAUGAGUUCCAUCUUCCCUCAGCGAGCUCUAUGUAGGUGGCUAGAGUUUUGUGCUGAGCUCCUAGCCGACCCUGCCAUAAAACAAACUCAAUACAAUCUUAUUCACGUAAAGAUUGUUUUUUCUUUAAUAAUAAUUGGGAGAUGUAUGACUCAUAAAUG